UAUGGCUUUCUAUUCCUAUGUGAUCUUAUGUAUUAUCUCAUGUAGGGUUCAAAGCCAUUGG
Molecule: microRNA precursor, 61 nt
Filed under: Lepisosteus oculatus (spotted gar)
Lineage: Eukaryota; Metazoa; Chordata; Actinopteri; Semionotiformes; Lepisosteidae
Description: Loc-Mir-135-P4_pre stem-loop
Rfam family: mir-135 microRNA precursor family
About the family: The hairpin precursors (represented here) are predicted based on base pairing and cross-species conservation -- their extents are not known.
Source: RNAcentral